AAAAACAAAUGUAGUGUGGACAAAUAAACAAAUGUAGUGUGGACAAAUAAGCUAAUUAAACUUAGGCUAUAAUCUUCACGGGUGAUGUUUACCUUACAAAUUAGAAUUUCAUGUUCCAACCGCAACCUCGAGCCACGAGAUCAUAACAUACAUACAUAUUCAUAUGUACAUCACACUCACAGGACCACAGUUGAAAUUCGAGGAAGCUUGAGAUUCUCUGCCUCCAUUUUGAUACUGACUUGCCACUUCCUUUUGCAUAUAAUAAUUAAUUAUGGCCACCUUGACUUUAUUCUUAGGCUAUAUAUCAUCAACCUUUGUUUCACGGUUCUCUUUCAAUGUUGGGGCACAAUCAUGCAAUAGUUUAUGCUUCGUCAUCCUCCCAAAGUCAUCUUCUGCGAAGUCAUCUUCUUUGAUGUCUCUCUGACAACCGUCGACUCUACUCCAAAGAUAGCAUGACCAACUCUAGUCCAAAGAUAACCCGAGAGAGGUAUAAGUUUGAUCAUUGCAACAAAAAAAUUCAUUCUCUUUGUCCAUUUCUGAUUUUGCUACUUCUCAGAUUUUGUCCGUCAUAAAUCCAAUCAUGUUCUAUGCAAUUUUUGAAAUCAAUCUGACUCAUAGUGACUUAAUGUUAUGACAAGUAUAUGUUGAGUAGCUUACAAGUUGCAGUCGAAGCUGCGAAUAAGUCCAAUUAGAGAAGCAUAAGCCCUAUUGAUGCAUGCCACUACACCAAUUGACUAGAAGACACUAAUUUUUUUUCACAAAUCCUUUCACUGUGGUGGAGGAAGGAGAUGCAUCACUCUACUCCUCAUCUUUGAUUGGAGGUGUAAUUAUUUGUCAGUUAAGAAAAAGUUUUAAUCAAGUAAAUUAUAAUCAUGUUUAACGAAAUCUGCCAUUGAAUUCGGAAAUAAUUAAA
This is a non-coding RNA of Cicer arietinum (chickpea), 913 nucleotides long. The record is from RefSeq and is a predicted model, not a curated record. Lineage: Eukaryota; Viridiplantae; Streptophyta; Magnoliopsida; Fabales; Fabaceae.